This 812-nucleotide long non-coding RNA is filed under the name Ailuropoda melanoleuca (giant panda). RNAcentral describes it as "lncRNA (ENSAMEG00000031359.1)". Lineage: Eukaryota; Metazoa; Chordata; Mammalia; Carnivora; Ursidae. The record is from RNAcentral.
AUCUUUAAAAUUUGAUAAAACCCAAUGUGAUGUUUUUCUUCUUCCGUAGAGCAUGCUGUGGGCGUCCACGUUUGCGCCGUGCAUGUGGUGUGUGGCCCACCGGCAGCUGCUUCAGCAAAGCUGGUCGCCUGGAUGCCGCACGGCUCGAAGUCUGACCGUUCGCACGGCCCGUUCCGCUCGCUGGUCCCCGGGCCUGUCCUCUGCCCGCGUGCACUGUACCCAGCACGGCAGACACGUAGCUCAGCGCAGCGUUUGCGGCUCUUCCGUGAGGAUUGAGCCAAGACAUCCUCAUUGCUCAGGAAACUGACCUGUACGGCAACCCAGCGGAUGGCCUGACUCCCCAGGUACGUAGCCGAGGACAGCUGAACGUGGUCAGGCCACCCCUGGGGCUGCCAGAGAUGCCCUUGUCCCCGGCCCCGAAUCCCACCCCACCACACCACACCCGGCCAGCUCUCUCCACCUCCCCAUUCUGCCAUAACGGGGCUGCCAGCUGCUGCCCUGAGUGACCUUCCCGCCGACCCAGCCGUCGGGGGCUGGCCCGUGGCUUCGAACCGCAGCCCUGGGCGCGGGAGGGGGUGCAGACAGCAGGGCAUCAGCAGGCCAGGCCCUCCUUCUGUGAUGUCCUCACCGCAUCUCCCUUGAGCCGGCGAUGGAACAGUUACGGUUUUAAUCAGGAAAAUAUUUGGGUUCACGCCCACUUUCUGUGAGCUGUCUUAUGAAGCGAUAUUGGCUUAUUUCACCCUUGACUGUCCUGAGAAGAUUCCAGGUCACAGAUGGAGAGACCAAGGCUAGACAAGGCUGGGUAUUGUGCC